RNAcentral lists this ribosomal RNA (252 nucleotides) under uncultured bacterium US2. Its description in RNAcentral is "partial 16S ribosomal RNA". It matches the Rfam family "Bacterial small subunit ribosomal RNA", at positions 50 to 332 of the family's 1533-position model. The record is from RNAcentral.
AACACAUGCAAGUCGAACGCCCCGCAAGGGGAGUGGCAGACGGGUGAGGAACACGUGGGAACGUACCCUUCGGUUCGGAACAACCCUGGGAAACUAGGGCUAAUACCGGAUACGAGCGAGAGCUGAAAGGUUUACCGCCGAAGGAUCGGCCCGCGUCUGAUUGGCUAGUUGGUGAGGUAACGGCUCACCAAGGCGACGAUCAGUAGCUGGUCUGAGAGGAUGAUCAGCCACAUUGGGACUGAGACACGGCCC